GCCACCUUAGCUCAGUUGGCCAGAGCAGCGGUUUUGUAAACCGCAGGUCGUGGGUUCGAGUCCCACAGGUGGCU
This 74-nucleotide transfer RNA is filed under the name Planctomycetaceae bacterium. Its description in RNAcentral is "tRNA-Thr". It matches the Rfam family "tRNA". Rfam says of the family: Transfer RNA (tRNA) molecules are approximately 80 nucleotides in length. Their secondary structure includes four short double-helical elements and three loops (D, anti-codon, and T loops). Further hydrogen bonds mediate the characteristic L-shaped molecular structure. tRNAs have two regions of fundamental functional importance: the anti-codon, which is responsible for specific mRNA codon recognition, and the 3' end, to which the tRNAs corresponding amino acid is attached (by aminoacyl-tRNA synthetases). tRNAs cope with the degeneracy of the genetic code in two manners: having more than one tRNA (with a specific anti-codon) for a particular amino acid; and 'wobble' base-pairing, i.e. permitting non-standard base-pairing at the 3rd anti-codon position. Lineage: Bacteria; Pseudomonadati; Planctomycetota; Planctomycetia; Planctomycetales; Planctomycetaceae. The record is from RNAcentral.